Molecule: long non-coding RNA, 817 nt
Organism: Prunus persica (peach)
Lineage: Eukaryota; Viridiplantae; Streptophyta; Magnoliopsida; Rosales; Rosaceae
Exons: 2
Source: RefSeq, a predicted model, not a curated record
CUGAAGAACUUAGAAGGGGCAGUGAGGGAAGGAAAAAUGUCGGAGAGUUCGACAUAUUCAAAUUGCAGCCAUCGUUACUGCGAGUGUGGGUCGGAAAUCAAACGCCAGACUUCAUGGACAGAUCUAAAUCCUGGAAGAAGAUUUGAGGCAUGUUGCAAUAAUCGGGUAAGUUUUUGUUUGAAUUGCAGAACAAUAAUUGGUGUUUCUUUUUUUUUGGCAUGACUUCAUGGACAGAUCUGAAUCCUGGAAGAAGAUUUGAGGCAUGUUGCAAUAAUCGGUAAGAGGGGGUUGCAUUUUUUCGCAUGGGUGGAGAAUGAAACAUGCCCACGAGGAAAGGAAAUCUUACCUGGGUUACUUAGAAGACUAAGAGGAAUGGAGGACGAAUUGAGAGCAACGACGGAGAAUUUCAGAUUGAUGGAAGAAGAGAAGAAUAAAUUAGAGCAAAAACUGAGAGAAGAGGAAGAAGAAAUCAAGAUUUUGAAAAAAUAGAAUCUGGGAAUGGGUCAACAAGUUGUUGUACUAGAAGAGAAAAUUUUGAGUUAUCGACAAAGACAAAGGUGGUUAUGGAUUGUUGUUCUGUUGUGUUUUAUGAUUGUGAUAUUGUUCAUCAAUAUGGAUGAUUUGGUAGUAUAGAAAUGGCAGGAAAUGGGCAUAAUGUUGUAUAUACUCUUGAAUAGCUUUUGAUGGCAUGGGCAUAGUGUAGAAAUGGGCAGGAAUUGUUAGUAUAGAAAUGGGCAAAAACCUGGGCAUAAGGUUAUUUUGUGCCUCUUUGGCAGUGUAUCAGAUGUUUUGCUAUAUAAGCUGAUUUUGUGCUGAA